UAACGCGUUAAAUCGACCGCCUGGGGAGUACGGCCGCAAGGGUUAAAACUCAAAUGAAUUGACGGGGGCCCGCACAAGCGGUGGAGCAUGUGGUUUAAUUCGAUGCAACGCGAAGAACCUUACCUGGUCUUGACAUCCACAGAACUUUCCAGAGAUGGAUUGGUGCCUUCGGGAACUGUGAGACAGGUGCUGCAUGGCUGUCGUCAGCUCGUGUUGUGAAAUGUUGGGUUAAGUCCCGCAACGAGCGCAACCCUUAUCCUUUGUUGCCAGCGGUUCGGCCGGGAACUCAAAGGAGACUGCCAGUGAUAAACUGGAGGAAGGUGGGGAUGACGUCAAGUCAUCAUGGCCCUUACGACCAGGGCUACACACGUGCUACAAUGGCAUAUACAAAGAGAAGCGACCUCGCGAGAGCAAGCGGACCUCAUAAAGUAUGUCGUAGUCCGGAUUGGAGUCUGCAACUCGACUCCAUGAAGUCGGAAUCGCUAGUAAUCGUAGAUCAGAAUGCUACGGUGAAUACGUUCCCGGGCCUUGUACACACCGCCCGUCACACCAUGGGAGUGGGUUGCAAAAGAAGUAGGUAGC
Molecule: ribosomal RNA, 582 nt
Filed under: Klebsiella pneumoniae
Lineage: Bacteria; Pseudomonadati; Pseudomonadota; Gammaproteobacteria; Enterobacterales; Enterobacteriaceae
Description: bacterial SSU rRNA
Rfam family: Bacterial small subunit ribosomal RNA
Source: RNAcentral